UGAUCUACCCGCCUCGGCCUCCCAAAGUGCUGGGAUUACAGGCAUGAGCCACCAUGGCUGGACUGAACUUCUUAAAAUGCGAAAUAUAAUAGGCUGGGUGCCGUGGCUCACGCCUGUAAUCCUAGCACUUUGGGAGACUGAGGUGAGUGGAUUGCUUGAGCCCAGGAGUUUGAGACCAGCCUGGGCAACAUGGCAAGACACUGUCUCUACAAAAAAGACAAAGAAAAAUACAAUAGUUGCCGUGAAAACUCAUAAUUGCUAAGACAAUUAUAACUUCUGCCAUUAUUUUAUCAUUUUCAAUAUGACAAAUGUAAAAAUAAUAUUUUCAUUGGGCCUGAAAACAGCCAUUUUCAUAUAAAAAAUCUAAAAGCCACAAUCAAAUGUGAGUCAAAACCAUUAAUGUACAAUAGUGUUUGCAUAGUAAAAAUAUGUUGUCUGCAUUUGGUGUUGGUAUUUAUAAAGAAUAGGAGCAUCUCACAGCCUUUUCUAUAUGCAAAACAUGUUAAGCCAAGCAUAACUUCUAUUCAGAAGAGUUCAGAGUUUAAGGGAGAAUAAAAAUUGGUUUACUGUGACUUCAUUUUUAAGCAUAGUGCAUACAAAAAUUAAAGAAAAGUUUUUUUAUAUGCAACACUUCGGAUAUGGAAAAAGCUAGUGAUUUUUAGACCCUUGCCAGGAUCAGUGAGGGCUUAUUCCCAACAAACUGUUAAGGAGCUACAGUUAAGAAUCUAACCUAAGGCCGGGCGCGGUGGCUCAUGCCUGUAAUCUCAGCACUUUGGGAGACCGAGGCAGGUGCAUCACCUGAGGUCAGGAGUUCGAGACCAGCCCGACCAACAUAAAGAAAUCCCGUCUCUACUAAAAAUACAUAAAAAAAAAAUUAGCCAGGCAUGGUGGCACAUGCCUGUAAUCCCAGCUACUCGGGAGGUUGAGGCAGGAGAAUUGCUUGAACCCGGGCAGUGGAGGUUGCGGUGAGCUGAGAUCAUGCCAUUGCACUCCAGCCUGGGCAACAAGAGCGAAACUCUGUCUCAAAAAAAAAAAAAGUAUCUAACCUAAGAAAUGUAGGUAAAGAGAAGGGAAAAGUCCAGCAAGAAGUGGAAUUAGAACCAAGAAACAAACUCAUAUGAAAAUUAGAAAUAUUUUAAAAUGUGAGGACAAUGGUUUACAAGUAUAUACAAAUCUUCCCGACAGAGGCUGAGAAGGUGAUAACAUGAAAAUGCAUUUAAAUGCACCCAACAGUUGAGUGCCUGUUACCUGCAAGACACUGAACCAAAUGAAGCACUAUCCCUUUCAUUCAAAAUCACAAAAUAUUAUACAAGAGAUGGAUGCAGAUCUCAUAAAUAAUUGUAUCAUAAAUCUGACUGAUAGCUUCAAUAAUGAAGGCAUUACAACAGCUAAAGUAACAUAGAGAAUUGAAAUAACUGGAUCUUGGGGUGACAAAAAUGGUGGAAGACUUUACAUAAAAGGUGACAUUUGAACUGUGUCCUAGAAGAGAAAAAGAAUUUUACUAUAUACAAAAGAAUUUUAGUCAGGCAUGGUGGUGCAUGCCUGUAGUCCCACUGCUUGGGAGGCUGAAGCAGGAGGAUCACUUGAGCCCAGGAGAUGGAGGCUGUUGUGAGCUAUGAUCACACCACUGCACUCCACCCUGGGUGACAGAGCAAGACCCUAUCUCAAAAUUAAUAAAUUUCCUUUAAUUUUAAGAAGAGAAUUUUGUAGUUAUUAUCCAUUUAAUUUCUCCACCAUUAAUUGCACCACCAUCUAUUCCCCACCUCUCACUGCCCUGCUUCCUAACUAGUAUCCUGCCUUAACUGACUAUCCUUGGUGGUUCAUUGGCUUCUGGUUGAGUUUGGCCAGUGAAAGACACUGGCUGGAGAUCAGAGGGCAGGAGGACAGAGAAGUUGGGAUAUUUCUUCACUGUGCCCAUUCUGCUUCCACACUGUGAUUCUUGCAGUGGCUGCCACCCUCUCUGCCUGCAUUUCCUACUGAUGGCCCCUUUCCCAUGGCUCCAACUUGCACUGAGCUAUGAUGGCAGUGUUUCAUCCCAUGGGACCUUUGGGCCUAGGGAAGAUAAGAGGUUCCCACUUUGCUAGUCUUUGGUUAUCUCAACCACUCUUGUGAUUUCCCUUUACCCUGACUGUAUCUCUGUAAAUUAUCCCUUCAUUUGAACCAUCUGAGUUGAAACCAGUCCUAAUCAAAGAGAAUAGUAUACGCAAAGACAAGAAGGAACUCAUGAUUGGGGAAACACAACUGCAAUUUAGGUAACAUCAUGGAGAUGGGAAUCUAGGAAUGGUUUUAGAGAAUUGGGGCCAGAUAAUGAGGGCCUUACUAUGGAAUCUGUAUUUUAUUCUUGGGUAAAAGAAAUCCAAUGGGGCCAGGCACAGUGGCUCACGCCUGUAAUCCCAGCACUUUGGGAGGCCAAGGCAGGCGGAUCACAAGGUCAGGAGUUCACCAGCCUGGCCAACAUGGUGAAACCCCGUCUCUACUAAAAAUAUAAAAAUUAGCUGAGUGUGGUGGCACAUGCCUGUAGUUCCAGCCACGUGAGAGGCUGAGGCAGGAGAAUCGCUUGAACCUCGGAGGCGGCGAUUGCGGUGAGCCAAGAUCAUGCCACUGCACUCCAGCCUGGGCAACAGAGCAAGACUUUGUUUCAAAAAAAAAAAAAAAAAAAAAAAAAAAGAAAAGAAAAAGAAAAAAGAAUCCAAUGGUGGUUAUUGAGUACGUAUCAACAGAACUGUGUUCCAGAAAGAUCUCUCUACUAGCAUGUGAAAGAUGGAAUGAAUAGGAAAGAGCCUGAAGGCAGGGAGGCCAGGUAAGAAGUGAUUGCAAUAAGAUUCUAAAAUGGGGCGUUGGUUGGUGGUAGGGAGAAUGGAUUUCAAAAGGGUCUGCAGUAAAAUCUAUAGGAUAUGGCAACUAAGUAAGAGAAAGGGCAAAGCAGAAGGGAUUUUUAAAGAUGACUUCCAGGUCUCCAGCUUGGCAGCAUGAGAAAAUGGUGACCCUAUAACACAGAAGAAGUUCUUAGAAUUGGGGCAAAAAAAAAAGAUUUGGGGCAUAAUGAA
This 3047-nucleotide long non-coding RNA is filed under the name Homo sapiens (human). Its description in RNAcentral is "HSALNT0212296". Lineage: Eukaryota; Metazoa; Chordata; Mammalia; Primates; Hominidae. The record is from RNAcentral.